Molecule: ribosomal RNA, 253 nt
Filed under: uncultured bacterium
Lineage: Bacteria
Description: partial 16S ribosomal RNA
Rfam family: Bacterial small subunit ribosomal RNA
Source: RNAcentral
UACGUAGGGUGCGAGCGUUAUUCGGAAUUACUGGGCGUAAAGCGUGCGCAGGCGGCUUUGUAAGCCGGAUGUGAAAUCCCCGGGCUUAACCUGGGAAUGGCAUUCGGGACUGCAAGGCUGGAGUGCGGCAGAGGAGACUGGAAUUCCUGGUGUAGCAGUGAAAUGCGUAGAUAUCAGGAGGAACACCGAUGGCGAAGGCAGGUCUCUGGGCUGACACUGACGCUCAUGCACGAAAGCGUGGGGAGCAAACAGG